CGUAUGUGGGGGUUUUGUUUUGGGCUCAGCUAUUGAGAAAUAUGGAUGUCACAUUAUCUGCAAUUCGUGGUACAAAUCAACAUGGAAGGGAUCUUAAUGCAAAUCGCAGUAUAGGCCUACCUCACGGAACGGAAAAGAUUGUACUGUCUCUUAUUGCGUCCCUCGGGACUAUUGCUUGCCUAGCGGGUCUACUGUUCACGGUAUUGACUUACACCAUGUUCAGGAAUCUGCGCCAAGAAGUUCCAUCCAAGAUAUUGCUGAAUCUGUGUGUGGCUCUCUUUCUAACACAUUUCAUUUUUGUUGUUGGUGUGCAGGAAUACAUAUUCAAGGAUGACAUUGCUUGUAUGAUUGUUGGCGUACUGAUGCACUAUUUCAUUUUGUCGGAGAUGGUGUGGAUGGCGGUGGACGCAAUGACGAUGUUCUUCUCGAUCGUCGUCGUCUACACGACAGAGACUCGCCAUCUCAUCUUCAAAGGCGUGUGCUUCGGAUGGGGUUUACCCUUGAUGAUCGUAGGAUUAUGCGUUGCUUAUGGACUGGCGCGCGGCUAUGGAUUGCCUGCAAAAGAAAUUUGUUGGGUCACGGAUGCACAGUUCUACUAUAAUUUCAUAAUACCGGUGGCCUUAAUCCUGAUGACGAACUGCAUCGUGAUUGCCAUUGUCCUGAACGCCACGUUUAGGGAAUCGGGAAAGGCGACCCUUAACCGGUUUGCCAAGGCCCAAAUACGCACCCGCCUGCAAGGGUCGGCCAUCAUCCUCCUCCUUCACAGUCUCACCUACGUGUUCGUCAUACUUGCCGCCGAGCAAGGCAGCGGCGUCGUCUUCUACUACCUCUUCACCAUAUCCAACUCGCUGCAGGGUCUGGUCAUCUUCGUGUUCUACUGUCUGCUUCAGAAGGACGCACGUGACGCUUGGAAAGCGAAGCUGGGAUACCGCACGCGGAAGCAAUCGUUAUACCCCGAUGCAAGCCAUAUCAUCAGCAGAACACCAAUUGUCUCACCUCAAACUAGUACUCGGGAGGAGCCUGGGGAGCAGUCUAAUCUAGUAUUUGACAACACCAGCGUUAAGAGGACAAAGAUUAUUUCAGAGGACAGCAUAUAACAACGCUGUGGUGCAGAAGAAACAAGGACUGUCAAAUAAAACAUUGUGUGCGUGUGUGGGUUUUUUUUCAAGUAUUUGUCAACAACAAAUGGAUGGAUUUAUUUGGAAAUUGCAGGGACCAGUCAGCAAAAUGAAUGAAUUAAUGUUUAACGACACCCCAGCACAAGAAAAUACAUCGGCUAUUGGGUGUCAAACUAUGGUAAUGGGAAUUUUUUUUUUUUUUUUUUUUUUCUCUUUCACAAUUUAGACCAAUAGUCCAGUCUGUAAGAUAAAAUGAGCUGUUUUUUCCAGUUCGCCUCUCUUUCCAUAGAGUUUGGUGUGUAUGGCAGUUUCGAUUGGCCACUCAGCUUGUCUCAGGUCUUGAUGAAUUGGACACGCCUGUAAGAUGUGUUCUGCUGUUUGGUCUUCCAGGCCACAACUGCAGGUUGGUGUUGCUGCAAGUUUAAACUUUCUGAACAUGUGAGCAUUCAGUCGGUUGUGGCUGUCCGGAGUCUCAACAGAGUUACUUGUUCCAAGCGACUGAGAAGGUGGUAAUCAUCUUGUUCUGUCC
Gigantopelta aegis is the source of this 1647-nucleotide RNA transcript. It is a transcript of the gene named adhesion G-protein coupled receptor G2-like, with no coding region annotated. Lineage: Eukaryota; Metazoa; Mollusca; Gastropoda; Neomphalida; Peltospiridae. The transcript is spliced from 9 exons. The record is from RefSeq and is a predicted model, not a curated record.